CGCGUAGGAAACUACCCAGUAGUGGGGGACAACAGUUGGAAACGACUGCUAAUACCGCAUACGCUCUACGGAGGAAAGGGGGCUUCCGGACUCUUCGCUAUUGGAUGUGCCUGCGUGAGAUUAGCUAGUUGGUGGGGUAAAGGCCUACCAAGGCAACGAUCUCUAGCUGGUCUGAGAGGAUGAUCAGCCACACUGGGACUGAGACACGGCCCAGACUCCUACGGGAGGCAGCAGUGGGGAAUAUUGGACAAAUGGGGCGCAAGCCUGAUCCAGCCAUGCCGCGUGUGUGAAGAAGGGCUU
Molecule: ribosomal RNA, 300 nt
Filed under: uncultured Thalassolituus sp.
Lineage: Bacteria; Pseudomonadati; Pseudomonadota; Gammaproteobacteria; Oceanospirillales; Oceanospirillaceae
Description: bacterial SSU rRNA
Rfam family: Bacterial small subunit ribosomal RNA
Source: RNAcentral